GAGCCCUCUCCCUCGCUUGCCCUUUCUCGCUGCUCUCUCAGCUAUCCACGCGUGCUCUCAGCGCUCUCUUCCUCUCAAGUAUCACCUCCCAUACAAUCCACACAGACCCACAACAUGGAGACCGAGGUAGCCAGUGGGCGUUUGGGGGCCAGGGACGGCCUCCUCGGCGCUGCCCUGCUGAGCGAUCCGGCCGCCAACGCAGAGGACGAGCAGAACGAAGAGACGUGUCAGGUUUUGAUCCCGCCAAACAUGAGCAUGGGCGCCGAUGACGAGGAGGUCUGCGGCGUCUGCCUCGAGCCGCCGCCGGCUGGCUGCUUUGUAGAGCUGUGGUGCUGCGGCAACAUCCUGUGCGUGGCGGAUGCGCAGCAGCUGGGCAAGUGUCCCUUCUGCCGCGAGGAGCCACUGGUGUGGAACAUCACGAAGUGAUGCGUAUUCAUGCUCGCACCCCUUUCACGUCGGCUACUAAAGGGAUGAAAGUCGCGUAUAAUCGAUCAAUGCCACCAGCAGCACCUCAGUUGUGUCUCCCCUUGCCAUGCAUAUUUCGAAGCGAUGGCAACGACGACACACACGCACACCUCCCCCUCUUCCACCCACUGCCCUCACCUUCAUGCCGACAUCUACUGCCAUUCUCGGCCCAGCCAACGCACAGAAACGCACUGCAUAUGUGCAUGUGCAGAUAUGAGCAUCAGUGCCACUGCCUUGUUUUCGAUUCGCUCGCUCUCUUCCCAGCGCGUGAGUCGGUGUGAAUCGAGUAGCUGGGGAUAGGGUGGAAUGGGGUCGGUGUGGCGGCAUCUCUGCUUUCAUAGUGUGUGCGUGGUACGCUCUGCCCUCCCUUCCUCACACCCCAACGCCGCGACUUCUUUGGUUCGCACGCCCUCUUUUCACGUACGUGCACAUGCCCAUGCAGACAGGUGGAGCGAUAGAGACACGUACGAACGUUGCUGUGUACGGGCACACACACAUACAAUACACAUGCACGCACAUGUAUAUGUAUGUGUGUGUGUGUCCGUUUUAUCUUCCCAUUGUGCCCACCGACAUUUUUGUUUUUGUGUGCUUCCUCUUGCUUCGCCACCCGCUGUUUGGGGUCGAUUUGUUUGCUGGCAUUUGCCCCCCCUCCCUCUCUCCCCGAAAAGCGCCCCUGUGCGUCUCCGUUGUGCUUCCUCGUCUUCUCUUUUCGUUUGCUGCUACGCGCGUGCGACUCGUUGUCUUCGUGUACGUGUGGGGGUGUGGGGGGUCGUGGUAGCUGUUCUUGUUCGUCCAUGAUGCUCUGGACUCACGUUGGCGCUAAUAUGCGGCUUUUCCUCCCUCCUCCCUCAGCCACCACCACCCCACGUCAGUACACCUCUCCCUCUCUGUAUGCAGCCUCCACCUCACCAUCAUCGUUGCUGUCGUUGGUGUUGAAAAGGAAAGAGAGUAAUGAUGUGUUGGUGUGUAUGCGCGCAAGCGUGAAUGCGUUGAAGGAAGGGUGGGAAGGGAGCAGAGCGAGCCGUGCUUCUGUCCACCACGUGCUGGAGCCGAGCAUGGGGAGCCACGGCGGAUGUCUCACAUGGUUGCUGUUGCUCCCCCUUUCUGCGUUGCUUAUUCACUUGUGCGUCGACAGCUCUUGUUGUCUCGCUUCUUCGUUGCUCUCUCUCUACGUCGUGUGUCUGUGUGCUCCUCUGUACUACACCAACAAUG
This 1677-nucleotide unclassified non-coding RNA is filed under the name Leishmania donovani. RNAcentral's name for it is "gene:LdHU3.05.1120(CDS-product:hypothetical_prote in_conserved)". The record is from RNAcentral. Lineage: Eukaryota; Euglenozoa; Kinetoplastea; Trypanosomatida; Trypanosomatidae.